CCUGGCGGCGAUAGCGCGGUGGUCCCACCUGACCCCAUGCCGAACUCAGAAGUGAAACGCCGUAGCGCCGAUGGUAGUGUGGGCUUCCCAUGUGAGAGUAGGGAACUGCCAGGC
RNAcentral lists this ribosomal RNA (114 nucleotides) under Pectobacterium versatile. Lineage: Bacteria; Pseudomonadati; Pseudomonadota; Gammaproteobacteria; Enterobacterales; Pectobacteriaceae. The record is from RNAcentral.